Molecule: long non-coding RNA, 2731 nt
Organism: Trichechus manatus latirostris (Florida manatee)
Lineage: Eukaryota; Metazoa; Chordata; Mammalia; Sirenia; Trichechidae
Exons: 4
Source: RefSeq, a predicted model, not a curated record
AGGGCUCUGUGUGGCUGGGGAAGGAGACUUAGGAGAGGAGCUUUCCAUUCUCCUAUGAGCAGGAGGAAGGAAAAGUAGCUGUACCACAGGAUGGGGGUCGACGCAGUGGUCUCCAGUGGUCAGACCCUGGAUGCCCAGAAUGGUCCACUGAGGUGUGGGAAGAAACCAUUAGAAUUUCCAUUAAAAAAAGGUUUCAAGAUGGACAUGAGCUUUUAACAUUCUCGCUGGAAACCACAAAUGGAGGACAAUUCAAAACAUCCCAGCUCAAGUGAAAACAAAUGCCAUCUCCAUCCUGGGCACCUCACAGGAAGAAUACUCAGAGGAAUUCUAUCAGCUUCCGGAAUUCCUCCCCCGAAAGUGCUGGCGGCCUAUGUGAUGCUGAAUAUGCCCAGCUAGCACCUGCAGUGCCGUCCCUGCUUACUGCUUCCCCAGCGUGAGCACCCAGAGCCCAAUGAGACAGAGCCAGAGGCACCAGGUCCAAUGCCAAGUGUAGUGCCAGCUCUCAAAUCAACUCAUCCAGAACAAACUGUAGAACCCAAUAGUGAUGUAGAGCCAGCUUAGGCACCAACAGCUGGUCUCGUCCCAGCUCCUCCAUCACCAGCCCUAGCACAAGCACCUGAGGGAGAGCAUGCCCCCAUUCGAGAUCAAAACAGCACAUCACCUGAGGAGCCCCCCUCUGAGUCCACAGGACAUAUCACCUGGGGAGCCCACUCCAGGUCCACAGGAUGCAAAACCUGAGGAGCACGCUCCAAGUCCAAAGAGAACAUCACCUGCGAAGUCCCCUCCAGGUCGACGGGGCACAUCACCUGGGGAGACCACUCCCAGUCCACCCAGCCCAUCACCUGAGGAGACCUCUCCAGGUCCAAAUGGGAGAUCAUAAGAAGAGACCGUUCCAUGUCCCCUACUCACAUCACCUGAAGAGACCACUCCAGGUGCACAACUUGCAUCACUUGAGAAGCCUGCUUCAAGUCUUCAUGGCAUCUCACCUCUGGAGUCCACUCCAGGGCCACACAGAGCAUCACCUCGUGGGUCAGCCCCAGAUGGACAAGGAGCAUCACCUCCAGGCCCACCCUUGAUAGACACGGAGCACCACCUGCAUGGCCUGCCCCUGAUGACACAGAGCAACUUCUGCGUUAUUCAUCCCCAUUUGACAAAGAGCAUCACCUCCAGGGUCCACUUCCAAUCGACACCAAGCAUCACCUGCUGAACCUGCCUUUGAUCGACAUAGAAUAUCCCCUUCAGGGCCCACUCCUGAUACACAGGGAGGAUCACCUGCAAUUCCCACCCCAAUCCACAGUAAGCAUCACCUGCAGGUCCCACCCCUGAUCCAAACGGAGCAUCACCUGCAGGGCUGACCCCCGAUUGAAAUGGAGCAUCACCUCCAGGGUAUGCCCUCCGAUUCAUAUGGAACAUCAUCUGCGGGAUCACCCCCCAUCGACAAGGAGAAUCACCUCCAGAGCCCACCAAUGAUCCACACAUAACAUCACCUGCGGGAUCUGCCCCUGAUCCUAUCCUCACAGAACAUCACCUGUGGGACCUACCCUCUAUCAACAUGGAGCAUCUUGUAUGGCGCCCACCCUGUGUUCACAUGGAGCAUCAAAUCUGGGGCACACACCUGAUCCACAUGGAGCGUCACAUGCGGGGCCCACUCCAGGUUGAAAUGCAGCAUCACCUGAGGGUCCUGCUCCCAAUCCACACAGAGCAUUACCCUCGGGGCAGCCCCCGUUUAACCAGGAGCAUUACUUGCAGGGCCCACACCCGAUACACGUGAAGCAUCACCUGUGUGGCCCACUGCCAUUUGAGAUGGAGUAUCAUCUAUGGGACCCGUAACCAAUAGACACGGAGCAUCACCUAUGGGGCUCGAAUCUGACCCACAUGGAGCAUCACCUGUUGGGCCCGCCCUCAAUCUACAGGGAACUUCUCCUGUGGGGCCUGCCCCUAAUAGACACGUGGCAUCACCUGUGGGGCCUGCCCGGGAUCCACAAGGAUCAACUCUGUGGCUUACCCCCAAUUAACAGGGAACGUCAUCUGUGGGGACUGCCCCCCCAAUAAACACGGAACAUCACCUGCUGGGCCCACCCACGAUUCACAGGGAACAUCACCUGUGGGCCUGGAACCCAACUGACACAGGGCAUCACCUGUGGGAUCACCCCCAAUCAACAAGAAGCGUCACCUGCGAGGUCCGCCCCUAAUCAACACGGAGCAUCGUCUGCAGGGCCCGCAUCAGGUACGCACAAAGCAACACCAGUGGGACCAGGCCCAAUCCACAUGGAGCAUCAACUAUGGGGCCCACACCCAAUCAACAUGAGGCAUUACCUGUGGGGCCCACCUCGGACCCACACAGAUCACCAACCCUGGGGUCUGCCCCAAAUCCAUAGGGAAAAUCAUCUACAGGACCCACCCCUGACCACCAAGGAGCAACACCUGCAGGGCCCGCAACCCACUGACAAGAAGCAUCACCUGUGGAGCCCACCACCAAUCUACUGGGAGAAUCACCUGAGGGAACUUCCCUCCAAUACACACAGAGCAUCACCUGCAGGGCCCACCCCUGAUUCACAGGGAAGAUCACCUGUGGGCCCAGCCCAUAAUCGACACGGGGCAUCACCUCUGGAGCCCGCCUUGGAUAAACACAGAUCAUCAACUCCGGGGCCCACACCCAAACCACAUGGGGCAUCUUCUUCCAGGUCCUCCCCAGAUCCACACCAAGUAUCACCUGUGAGACCACCCUCAA